This 694-nucleotide ribosomal RNA is filed under the name uncultured fungus. Its description in RNAcentral is "eukaryotic LSU rRNA". The stretch from base 155 to 308 matches the Rfam family "5.8S ribosomal RNA". The record is from RNAcentral. RNAcentral also lists the same sequence under 1 other name. Lineage: Eukaryota; Fungi.
CUGAUGGGUUGUUGCUGGUUCUCUAGGGAGCAUGUGCACGCCUUGUCAUCUUUAUAUCUCCACCUGUGCACCUUUUGUAGACCUUUCAGGUCUAUGUUGCUUCAUUUACCCCAAUGUAUGUUAAUAGAAUGUUGUGCCUAUAUACAAUAUAUACAACUUUCAGCAACGGAUCUCUUGGCUCUCGCAUCGAUGAAGAACGCAGCGAAAUGCGAUAAGUAAUGUGAAUUGCAGAAUUCAGUGAAUCAUCGAAUCUUUGAACGCACCUUGCGCUCCUUGGUAUUCCGAGGAGCAUGCCUGUUUGAGUGUCAUUAAUAUAUAUAUAUAUCAACCUUCUCUUGUGGAAUGGUUUGGAUGUGGGGGUUUGCUGGUUUCAUAUAUAUAUAUAUGGGUUCAGCUCUCCUGAAAUGCAUUARCAGAACGACCUGUUCAUUUGGUGUGAUAACUAUCUACGCUAUUGAAUGUGAGGGGCAGUUCAKCUUUCCMACAGUCCUCUUGGACAACUCAUCAUUAAUGUGACCUCAAAUCAGGUAGGACUACCCGCUGAACUUAAGCAUAUCAAUAAGCGGAGGAAAAGAAACUAACAARGGAUUCCCCUAGUAACUGCGAGUGAAGCGGGAAAAGCUCAAAUUUAAAAUCUGGCASUCUUUUGGCUGUCCGAGUUGUAAUCUARAAAAGUGUUAUCCGCGCUGGACCG